Molecule: ribosomal RNA, 253 nt
Filed under: uncultured bacterium
Lineage: Bacteria
Description: partial 16S ribosomal RNA
Rfam family: Bacterial small subunit ribosomal RNA
Source: RNAcentral
UACGAAGGGGGCUAGCGUUGCUCGGAAUCACUGGGCGUAAAGCGCACGUAGGCGGCUUUCUAAGUCAGGGGUGAAAUCCUGGAGCUCAACUCCAGAACUGCCUUUGAUACUGGAGAGCUUGAGUCCGGAAGAGGUGAGUGGAACUCCGAGUGUAGAGGUGAAAUUCGUAGAUAUUCGGAAGAACACCAGUGGCGAAGGCGGCUCACUGGUCCGGUACUGACGCUGAGGUGCGAGAGCGUGGGGAGCGAACCGG